CAACUUCAGUCGUUUUAAAGCACAUUUAGGCACACGUGUUUCAAAGCAAGGGCGACGAGAGAGAGAGGAAGAGAGAAAACACGAGACAGGAACGAACGAAGGGGGGCGCCCAAAGGGGAGAGGCACGUACGCAUCUGUGGACGCAACUUGAUCCCGCUCACCUUUGUUUGCUUGCAGGAGAAGCACUUUCUUGUAUCUCAUCCCCCGCAUCUCCCUGUUUUUGUGGUUCUUCUUCCCCCUUGCACAUCUCUCUCUCUCUCCUUCUCCUCCUUCGCGGGAGACAUCCGGUGCUCGGCAGCUCUCUUUGCUUCGCUUCCGAUUGUGUGUCUGCGGCUUCCACGUGAUCAAGUCAUCCUUAAUACGUGUGCGUGCGCGCGUGCGCACUGCACGCCCCCGUCCCUCCUGUCAAUCUACCUAACCCUUCCUCCCCGCUCACCCACUCACACACGCGCGUAAAACGCGAAGUCUACACCGAACCUUACAGUCCCUAUUUCUCUCUUUUUUUCCCAUCUCUGUCCACUGUGUAUCCACGAGCGGCGGCACACAGGCGCGUUGUGAAGAAAGAGACCUUGCACGCACACUUAGGCAUACGUACACACACACACACACACACACACAUACGAGCGAACACGCCCACCUUCAGACGAGCUCAGCUGACCGUGGAGGCGGUCGUGCAUUCUUUUCUGUUUUUUUUUGUCAAUCGUCGUUUGCUUGCGCGUCUUGUGCUCGUUUUCCAAAGAGCGCCGCGUUGCGGCGUCUCCUGCUCCUCUUCUCUUUUUCCGGUGUGGCGGCAGAAACGCUUGCUCUGUCGCCUUUCUUCACAUUCUCGGGUACCCUACUCUCCCCUUUCACAACCACUCCCAUUUACCGGUCUCCUGCUUUUGUUUUUCGCUCGAGAUUGCACAUCGCACGCUGAUCAGGAUUAGUGAGUGUGCGCGUGUCCGGUGCACGCAUUUUUUUGACUGCGAGUUUUUAUUUUGUGGAGAAAAAUCUUCUCCUACAUACCGAUUGUGGGCUGCUGCUGCUGCCGCCGCUUCGCGAGGAGAUUCCUUGCGUGUGUGCGUGUGUGUGUGUGUGUACUCGCAGAUAUCUUGCUGUCCUCUAAUCCUUGCAAAGCGUUUUGUUGUGCUGCCCCUCAACUUUCUUGGCGUCUUCACAUUUGGCUGCCUAUCCUGCACCUAUACACACCUCCGCCCCGCUCUUGUGGUUUACCCGUUAAAGCUCUUCGCGCAGUCACACAGGCGCAUACACAACAAGGCACGCACUUCGCCGAGAUGCAGGAGCUCCCUCGUCGAACGGCGAGGAAAACUCGGCGGGAGGCAACUGGGGAGCCUCUCACUACCGUGUCAUCCACCUCGACGGCCACAAAAGAUGAGGAUGCACAAAGGAGUGGGCUGGCUGAGAAUGACCUGUCAGGCGCGCUUCCGCAAACCUCUGCAGCUGCUGCCUCCCCCUUCCUUGGGUCGAGCCGCAACUCCACAUCGGGGUCCCUUGUUGAGUGCUGGAUCUGCUUCGACCCCACCAGCACCCCCUUGAACCCUAUUGUCACCCACCGCUGCCGCUGCCGCGGCUCUGUCGGAUAUGUUCAUCAAAAGUGCAUCGAUCGCUGGGUCAUUCAGCAGCGCAACCGCGCUUGCCGCAGCUGCGGCGCGUCCUACCAGCUGGUGCACUCCGAAUAUCCCCCCGGUGCAAACCUUCCGCUGAGGCCGCACGAGCGCCGCGUGUUUUUGUUGAAGUUUUUGAUUAAGCCGCUCCUCCUCGAAUCCGCCGAGACGCUCUGCUGCGUCCUUCUGCGCUUUUUCGUCCUCCCGCUCCUGCUCGGGCUCGUCUACAGUUUUCAUCGCUGGCCGCUGCUGUGGCGGCCCAUGUCGACCUUUGCAGCAUCACCGGAGCGGAACUUUAGCUACACCGCCUCAGUCGGUGUCCCCGGCAGCCAGGAGGUGCUGGAGAAUGAGGACGGCACGUACACCUUGACGGAGUCCUUCUUGGCGUGGGCCGACGCAAUUCUCUUUGGCCUCGUCCUGUGCACCGUGAUGAACGCGGUGGCUGUGGGGUGGGAGAAGUGGAACCACUACUUCCGCGCUGCCCGGGAGCGACUCGCCCGCGAGACGGCAAGGCGAGCUGAGGAAGGAGGGUUGGCACGAGCGGCAGCGAUGCCUCCGGUAGGCCCUCUCGACUUUCAUGAGGAGAACGGCCCGGCAGAGGGAGUUGAGGAGCGGGCGGAGGCCACGGAGCAGGGGGGAACAAUGAUUCUCCACAGGCGCAGCUGCCGCAUCAUGAGGAAGCGUCGCCAGAGGGUUUUAUCGUCGAGGGGUGGAGACCGGAAUGGGGACCUCUGCCGGCGGCGGAGCAGGAACUUCUGCCGCGCGAGGAUGCGCCUGACGCGCGCCAACCUGGGGCGCGAGCAGAGGCGAGGGCAGUGGCAGGCGAGCAGCACUCGAGCAGCGACAGCGACAGCGAUAAUGACGACUCAGAAAGCGGCAGCGACACGCCCUACCGACUUUCCUUCGUCGACGGGGUCUUUGACACGAUCGACUGGGUGAAGUCGGGCGCCGGUGGCGGCGGCAUGAAGCGGCUCCUCCCUUCGUCGAUGCGGCAGCUCUGCUACGGUCUUGCACUGACGCUGCUGCUGCGCACAAUCUGGGGCAGGGUAGUCGUAGCGCUUGCCUUUGCAGGCUUCAUCGUGAGUUGGCGCUACCGCCACACGCGAAACGUCCUCACGACACAGAAGCGGCGCUUAUACGAGGUUGCAGAGCGCGUGCCGCUGCUGUCGCAGGAGGCGGUGAAGACACUCUUUGGGGUGUACCUCGUGGAUGCUUUUUUCUUUUACGGUGCGCUACCCGAGCUGGGAGGGAUGAUGCUGCACUACGCCGUCGCCCCGUACGUGGAUAUUGGCUUUGAUCGCGGCUUCCUGGCCUUUUUUCACGGACUCACCGUGCUGAAAGUGACGCUCUACUGGGUGGUGGGCGCGGUGCUGGUGAUGCUGCUCACCGCGAUGGAGUUGACGGUUGUGGGCCCCUUGUUUGCCAACGGCGUCGAUCUGUUCUUUGUGCGCAGCUUCGAUGCCCGUUGGGACUCCGUUCUCGGGUACUGGCGCUGUGUCGUGACUCAGGUAUUCGACUCCGACCCUCCCCGCAUCGUUCGCGGCUUCCUCCGCGUGGCGGUGGUGGAGCUGUUGGUGCUGCUUGUCUUUGUGCGGGUGCCGUUUUGGGGAAUGCUCGGGUGCCGUGACUUGUUGUGGGGUGAUGGCACAGCUGCGCAGACAGGGCUUCCGCUGAAAAUGUCUCUUUCACUGAGGGUGACGACCGGGUACGACAUCAGCGCGGACGCCAGCCUUGACGAGUGGCGCCGCGCCGAGGUUCUGCGCGUUCUGGCGGAGCGGGUGCUGCUCCCCUUUGGUGCCAUGUACGCAGCCCGAGUACGAGAGCAACUGAGGCCAAUGCUUGAUUCAAUCCCUCUCGACACCAUCGCCCCCCUCGAGCUGACUGCCGCGAGCUCCACUUCCAUGACACCCGCCGCCCGAGAGCUGUGGGAGCAAGUCUGGGGCAACAUGUCAGAUCGCUCGGUGUUCCUUUUUCACCUCAUCGACCCCGAAUCCGCCAAGAGGGUCGCAGCGGCGUCGGAGGGGUUUCGCCACACGCUGGAGCGCGUUCAGGAGCCGAUAGAGUGGCUGCGCGUAGCAACAUCCGAGGAUGGCGUGUGCAACACGGUGAUGGUCUUGUCCUCCUCAGCAGAGUGGUUAGGGACGCUGCAGCGGCAGCCGCCAGUCGCAGAUUUGGAGGCCAUUGUGGCGCCGCCAUUCACGGUUUCAGAGCAGCAGAGCACCUCGACCGCGCGUGCGCAUCAGAUGGUGCUCAACGCGUGGAGAAACACGUACCAGGAUGCCAUGAGCCGCAUUGCCAGUGUCCUGCACCCCGAGGCGGUGCCGACGCCGCGGUCGUUGUACCCAGAGCACGACACGGUGCAGGAAGAGCCUCACACCGUGAGCGCGAUCAAGUGUUACAUGGCCGCACUGCACUUGUCGUACCCUUACAUGGGCAUGGGCCGCUGGCGCGCCCUCGCGUAUGAGUGGUGGUCACUGCUGCUGCUGCGCAACACAUUCGCGAACUACGUCGUCGACGUCCUCAAGUACGUGGCAGCGAUAUCAACGGUCCUCUCCUGCUUCGCCGUGUACCCCCUGCAGCGAGCGCAGCUACGCAUUCUCUUUCCGGUGGUUCGCUGGAUUGGUCAGAGUGUCGUGCACAUGGAGGACUACCUGUUUGACCCAGAGCAGCUUCGCGCGGUGGAGGGAUUUGUGGAGCAGGAGGGCGAGGACGAACUUGUUCUGCCUCCGAUGGUCGAACCGCUGGGGUUCGACCGGCGCGAGGAGUAUGUGGAAGAGGCGGCUAUCCCGUCCUACCUCCUGCUGCGGCGUGUGGUGGUGGCUGUUCUCUUCCUCGUCGUCGCGUCCGUCAUGGUUUGGAUCGUUCCCGUACUGUGCGGCACUCUCCUCUUGUGCAUCACGAGGAAUGCGCUACCGGUUCUUGUGGGGGCGGCCUCCUUGAGCUUCUUCUGCUGGAACCCCACAUUGUUCGCCCGCUCCGUCAUCUUCGGCACAGCACUCACCAUCGCCAUUGUGUUCGUCGUGCCGAUCGUCGGCAUCAUCUACAUCGGACCUUUUGCGCAGCUGUUCUGGAGCAGCUACCCCACCCUGGUGGAGGAGACAUUUGAGCGCCAGUACGACGUGCACCAGAUGGUUGGCCCUUACACGGGCUCCGCCACAGGCGGCGAUGGCAGCGCGGACGGCGACUCCGAUGACGACUGGGAAAGCGUCGACUCCCGCGACGUGGUCCAAGGAAAUGCCGAGGCCCUGCACCAGGAUAGAGGGGCAGAGCCAGACGUCGGGGACGGGCCGCACGGCGACGUGCAAGCCGUAGCGGCUCACUAGAACUUCCUCCCUCUCUCAUGCACAUAAAGGCGUGCACCGUCAUCGCGUCUCUGUGCGUGUGUGCUGUCCCUCUGUCUUGUAGUAUGCAAACUUACAUACGGACGCAUAUGGUCCCCGUUUUCUUCCCUUGCUUCACGUGUUGAACACGAACACAUAGGGCAACCAACUAACGAACCACGAAAAAAGCAAGGCGAGCGUGAUCGAGGAAAGCUACGCACAUUGGUGGAUGAUGAUGGUGGUCGUGGUGUAUGCACGUGCGUGGGUGUGCCUCUUGUUCGCGCUACGGGCGUCCGCUUCUUUUGGCUGCUUUCCCUUCUUUCUCUCCUGGCGCAACUUUUCUCUGCCUGUUGCUCGUGAUCUUGCACUGGCGCACCCUUUGAAGUCUUCCUCUUGUUUCUGACCAACUCGCUGUAGGGAGAGUGCACGCGUGUCUUGUUGCUCCACUUCUCUCUACCCCCCCCUUCUUGUGCUGAAGGCGCCGCUGAGCCCAGGAAGGUGAUGGUAACAUCCGGCAGGAGAGAAGUAAUGGCGAGAGAGCCUCGAGAGCAAGCUUCCUCGGUAAAACGUAUACGUCGCGCUGGGACAGUGGAGGUACCCAUUCACCCUCCCACACACACACAUAUACUUGGACACCAGACAUGAGAGCACCUCUACGCAUUUGCCUCUCUACUUUUUCUCAGACAUACAAAAAAAAAGACAGGAUAGCAGGGAAGAACACAGCAAAAGCAAUCAUGACACUUCUUCCUCGUGCGUCGAGUUAGCAUGCCCUGUGAUGGAAUGUGCACAUGUGCGACGCCAAUGGCGAGGGCAGAAAGGGCGGAGGUCGUCUUUCUAUCUCG
RNAcentral lists this unclassified non-coding RNA (5766 nucleotides) under Leishmania donovani. RNAcentral describes it as "gene:LdHU3.29.2540(CDS-product:Zn-finger_domain_p rotein_putative)". Lineage: Eukaryota; Euglenozoa; Kinetoplastea; Trypanosomatida; Trypanosomatidae. The record is from RNAcentral.